Molecule: long non-coding RNA, 761 nt
Organism: Motacilla alba alba
Lineage: Eukaryota; Metazoa; Chordata; Aves; Passeriformes; Motacillidae
Exons: 3
Source: RefSeq, a predicted model, not a curated record
GCAGGUGUCCGGUUGAGCCUGGGACGUUCUGGCCAGCCCAGAUGUAUGAUCCAGCAUUGUUGAGAGUCCCCAUGGCCGCAGGUCCUGGUGGGGUGUGUCAGGUGUCCGUUUGAGCCUGGGACGUUCUGGCCAGCCCAGAUGUAUGAUCCAGCAUUGUUGAGAGUCCCCAUGGCCGCAGGUCCUGGUGGGGUGUGUCAGGUGUCCGGUUGAGCCUGGGACGUUCUGGCCAGCCCAGAUGUAUGAUCCAGCAUUGUUGAGAGUCCCCAUGGCCGCAGGUCACGGUGGUGUCAGGUGAGGCUUGUGGUGACUCAGGUGCCAGCGAGGUCUCAGGGAUCCCGGGGUUGGAUGUGCAGUGGGAUCUGCAGCAGCUGGGAAGGUGUUGCUGGCGGUUUGCUCCAAUGCAUUAAAUUUUGUGACAGCCAGUUGGGAAUGCUCAGGUACCUCUCCAGGGAAGGGGAUGAGGGGGUUGGCAAGUGUGACACAGUGUCUGGCAGCAGACACUGGAUCUGUUGCAUUCCAUUGCUCUGGUGAAGGCCUCAGGAAAUGGAAAGGAGUGUGAGGAUAUUUGGGGGUCUUUGAUGGUUUCUAGCCCCUCCUCAGCUGCCCCUCACAUGAAUGUCCCAUUUGUGUGUUCCCUUUCUGGGCUGGUGGUUUUUACAACAGAGCCCAUUUUUGUAAGGGAAGAUGGGUGUUCACUGCCUCUGACCAGAAGUUGUGGCACACACCGAAAACCUCUCUUCCAAGCCUGUGGCUGGGGGGAG